UACGUAGGGUCCGAGCGUUGUCCGGAGUUACUGGGCGUAAAGCGCGCGCAGGCGGCUGUCCAAGCCCGGCGUGAAAGCCCCCGGCUCAACCGGGGAACGUCGUCGGGGACUGGGGGGGGCUUGAGGGUGGCAGGGGUCGGUGGAAUUCCCGGUGUAGUGGUGAAAUGCGUAGAGAUCGGGAGGAACACCCGUGGCGAAGGCGGCCGACUGGGCCAACCCUGACGCUGAGGCGCGAAGGCGUGGGGAGCGA
This 250-nucleotide ribosomal RNA is filed under the name uncultured bacterium. Its description in RNAcentral is "partial 16S ribosomal RNA". It matches the Rfam family "Bacterial small subunit ribosomal RNA", at positions 524 to 771 of the family's 1533-position model. The record is from RNAcentral.